UACGUAGGGUGCAGGCGUUAAUCGGAAUUACUGGGCGUAAAGCGUGCGCAGGCGGCUUUGCAAGUCAGAUGUGAAAUCCCCGGGCUUAACCUGGGAACUGCAUUUGUGACUGCAUGGCUGGAGUGCGGCAGAGGGGGAUGGAAUUCCGCGUGUAGCAGUGAAAUGCGUAGAUAUGCGGAGGAACACCGAUGGCGAAGGCAAUCCCCUGGGCCUGCACUGACGCUCAUGCACGAAAGCGUGGGGAGCAAACAGG
This 253-nucleotide ribosomal RNA is filed under the name uncultured bacterium. RNAcentral describes it as "partial 16S ribosomal RNA". It matches the Rfam family "Bacterial small subunit ribosomal RNA", at positions 524 to 776 of the family's 1533-position model. The record is from RNAcentral.